RNAcentral lists this ribosomal RNA (416 nucleotides) under uncultured archaeon. RNAcentral describes it as "bacterial SSU rRNA". It matches the Rfam family "Archaeal small subunit ribosomal RNA", at positions 449 to 865 of the family's 1478-position model. The record is from RNAcentral.
AGUCUGGUGUCAGCCGCCGCGGUAAUACCAGCUCCUCGAGUGGUCGGGACGAUUAUUGGGCCUAAAGCAUCCGUAGCCGGUUUCGUAGGUCUCCUGUUAAAUUCAACCGCUUAACGGUUGGGCCGCAGGAGAUACCGCGAGACUAGGAGGCGAGAGAGGCGGACGGUACUCCGCAGGUAGGGGUAAAAUCCUUUGAUCUGCGGAAGACCACCAGUGGCGAAGGCGGUCCGCCAGAACGCGCUCGACGGUGAGGGAUGAAAGCUGGGGGAGCGAAGCGGAUUAGAUACCCGGGUAGUCCCAGCCGUAAACGAUGCGAGCUAGAUGAUCCGAUCGCAGUUCGCGAUCGGAGUGUCGCAGGGAAGCCGUUAAGCUCGCCGCCUGGGGAGUACGGUCGCAAGGCUGAAACUUGAAGGAAU